CUUCUCCGCCAAAACCCACCCUCCGCGACCUAACCUCCUCCGACAAAACCAUCCACGAAAAACCUCUUCCGCCUAAACUCUCAUCUGCGCCGCCCACACCUAGGAUUAGUCUAUUCGUAUAGUGCUAGCGAAGCCGCCCUUGCGCUGAUGUUCGAGCUCGUUCGCCUGUGGCGGUGUGGUUGCUCCUCGGCGCCUUGGGUCCCCGUCAAGCUCCUCUCUUCCAUUCUUUUGCGCUCAUCGCACUUCGUGAGCGCAACAUCUCCCAUAACUAAAGAGGACGAGCAUAGGAGACCGAAGAGGGAAUGGCGCACCCUCCCCCCAUUUGUGCCUCCUAUGAUGGCACUGCGAUCAGGAAAGAGCUAUCCGACCUCCGACCUCCCGCAGCGACCAAAUCCAUGAAGGCCUUGAAGUGGGUCCGCCGCUGCUGCCAGAGAUCCCGAUGUCCCUUGUCCAGAAGCUCUUCCGGCUGAGACAUGUCCGAAAAAGGGCAUCUUUUGAAAUUGAACCUCGUAAAUGCUGAUCAUCCAUAACAGGGCCGAUUUAAAAGGAUGGAAUCAUACUUUCUUACUGGUUAAAGACUGGGUUAACUUCUAUCAAAUCGCAUAAUUUGGAUUGUUGCAACAUAACAAAUUCAGGGUUGGCCGCAAUAACAAGUUUCUAUUGAUGGUUGGAGCAAAUGUCUUUUUGUGCUUGAAGCAAAUGUCUUUUGUCGUUUGGAGCACAUGCCUUUUGUUGCUUGGAGCAUAUGUCUUUUGAUUUUUUUUUUGGUGGAGAAAAUUUGUUAUUGAAGGUUGUAUAUCUUUUGGAGAUUGAAGAAAAUAUUAUGUUUGUGUUAUAGUGUGGAGUUAAAUGUUAUAUGUUAUGAAUAUUUUGAAAUGAAAUACAAAUUGUAUGUGU
Molecule: long non-coding RNA, 897 nt
Organism: Zingiber officinale
Lineage: Eukaryota; Viridiplantae; Streptophyta; Magnoliopsida; Zingiberales; Zingiberaceae
Exons: 4
Source: RefSeq, a predicted model, not a curated record